RNAcentral lists this transfer RNA (69 nucleotides) under Halocynthia aurantium. RNAcentral describes it as "tRNA-Trp". The record is from RNAcentral. Lineage: Eukaryota; Metazoa; Chordata; Ascidiacea; Stolidobranchia; Pyuridae.
AGGAUAUUAGUUUAAUAAAAUCAAUUGUUUUCAAAACAGUAGUUAUAUAGUGUGGUUAUAUAUGUCCUG